Molecule: long non-coding RNA, 225 nt
Filed under: Capsella rubella
Lineage: Eukaryota; Viridiplantae; Streptophyta; Magnoliopsida; Brassicales; Brassicaceae
Description: long non-coding RNA (CRUB_LNC003740)
Source: RNAcentral
UCGGAGGCUGAUGGCUUUCCUCAUUGCACAAGUGAUUCAAUGUUCAUAGCAUAUGAAAAAUGUUCGUAUAUAAAAUAAAUUAAAUUAUCAUAAAAGCAUGAAAGAUUUGUAUUAAAUUUAGAAAAGCCGCCAAGAAGGAAAAAAAAAAAAGUUAUUUGUUUUUUGUAAGAAAUUAAAUAGAAAAUGUAAAGUGUCUUUGACAAAAGAUAUUUGGUUCGAUUCGAC